RNAcentral lists this non-coding RNA (34 nucleotides) under unclassified sequences. RNAcentral describes it as "DUF805b RNA". It matches the Rfam family "DUF805b RNA". From Rfam's summary of the family: Bacteroidetes, Chlorobi (1 example), Proteobacteria. Lineage (Flavobacteria) The record is from RNAcentral.
AAGGAGAAAGCCGAAAAUCCUAAAAGAGUAGGCG